UGAUGGAUGGCGGCUCCUCAUUCAUGAUGCCUAAACAGGAGACAAAUUCAUCAGGCAGGAGGGUCUGUUCUGGAACAGUUUCACUGGGUCUAAGGAAUCAACUGGUGGUUUGUGGACUAAAGAAUCUACUUCAUCACUGUUGCUGAGAUGGUUUCCCCCAUGGGCAAAAAGUGAACCCUGGGGGCCUUGAUAUGUGGACCAACCUGGCCUUGAACUUGUAAUGCUCCUGCCUUACAUCUCCUGAAUACUGUUUUCUUUUCUUUUCUUUCUCUAUCUUU
Dipodomys spectabilis (banner-tailed kangaroo rat) is the source of this 278-nucleotide long non-coding RNA. RefSeq lists it as uncharacterized. NCBI's taxonomy places the organism in Eukaryota, Metazoa, Chordata, Mammalia, Rodentia, Heteromyidae. The record is from RefSeq and is a predicted model, not a curated record. The transcript has 3 exons.